CUCCACUUGGGGCUCCAGUUCCAUGGGGACCACCUAUGCCUCCACCAUAUGCCCAGUACCCACCUCCCCCUCCUGGCUCAGCCAUGUAUCCUCCUGUCCCAGGUCAACCCAUCCCUCCAUAUGGAAUGCAGUAUCCUCCUCCAAUUCCACCAGCAUCUUCUGGUGCUGGUCCUCCUGCUCAGACUGUUUCUUCAGGUGAAAACCAACAAACCUACACAUCAUCUGGUGAGACACAGCAAAGUUAUCCUCCUGGAGUGCAAUCUCAGAGUAGUGCACCCCUUCAAUCAGUUCCAACUUAUGUGUACGGCAAUUCUGCCACUUCAAUGCCACCUAAUGCUCAACCUGCAUAUCCAACAUCUUCAUACAGCUAUCCAUCUUAUUAUGGUGUCGCACCACCAGCUCCUCCUCCAUCUGCAUCCCAUUCCAAUGGGGACCAUUCACAGGGUAUGGGCAAUGUUCCUUGGGCUCCAAAUCCACCAGCACCCUCACCUCCAUCAUCUUCAGAGAAGCCUGCCUAUGGUGCGGAUGCAGAAUAUGAGAAGUUCAUGUCAGAGAUGAAGUGAUGACAGGAUUGCUGUAUCGCCCUGCAAUAUUAGGUAUGGAAGUUAUGUUGUUUCUUCUGUUUCCAAAUUUGUCAUUUUGGUCUUCUCUAUGCUGUUUGGUGUUCACCUUUCAGGGGCAUACACAUGUAUUAUGUGUACAUCCUCAUCCUCACGUUUAUGCUCUGCAAUGGGACAGCCAAGUUUCUUAUCAACCAAUUUUACUGGGGUUUUAAGGGGUUUUUUUCCUUUCAAAAUUUCAUAAAUGAUGAGUUUUCCAUCUUUUUAUUUACAAGAAAAUGGUGAUGAGUGUGUUUAAUGUGAAGGGUACUCAAAUCUUUGCUUUGGGAACAAAAAAAUCUUUUCAAGUUGUCUCUCUUCCCAAUUUUUCUAAGUUGUAGAGAAAGAGAAACCCAGCAGAGAGCUAAUUGUCCAGCAAUUUAACUGUAUACUGUAUAUAAUUUGGCUGUUUGUUAAUGAACUCUAGAAAGCUAUGCAGAUUCUUCUAGAUUACAAGUAUCUAUAUUCAAAGCUUGCGCCCGUCGCCCCGUCCCACAAUUAGAUCUUGGUUGCUUUUUAGUUCAUCUAUUUUCAUUCCCCUUUCUGUUUGUUUUUUGCUAAAGGAAAUGUUACUGUUUUUUUUUUCUGGAAGCAGUGAGCAUUUAAUAAUUUAUUUGUUGCUUGGUUAUCUUCAUUCUUAACAGUUCUCCUUUGUUAAUGUUGUGAUAUUUUGGCAGGCUGAUGUGUUGGAGCACUUCACCUGAUUUCUUUCCUCUUGCCGUGACUUAUUUGUUGGAAGUUUCAGACUCACAUCUUUAACCUUGUUGUACUGUUAUGCAGAGAGAUGAGACCUUCAGUUCAUUCAGCUUGUGUUGGAGCAUUUAAUCAGUGGAUUAUGGAAUAUUAAUUAUGCUUUUUGUAGGACUCGUUUUGGGGGUUGCUCCAGCAUAUGUUUCUCAAAUUUUGUUUUAAUGAUUUGUUUGAAUCUCUUGUUUACUAAUCACUGACAGUUUGUCUGUUUUGUGUGUUUCUCUCCUCUUUGACGUAUCACCGCUAAUCUCCUUUGCUUUUCUCUUCUAACUUGGUUAUGUCUUUUACCUUUCUGUGGUCGUUUAAAUAUUGAGAACUCAGAAAGCAGCCUACUACUUGCUUCUGCUAUUCCUCUCCCGAAGGUGAUGCAUCUUGAAAAUGUGAAGGUCCCCAGGGUAUGUGAAUUGGUUAGUUUGACGCCUAUAUUCACAUGUCUCGGAAUUAACUUUUAUUAUUAAUUCUGAUACAUUUUCCAGAUGUCUUGUGACAGGAAAAGAUGCUUGUACUGGAAGUUGGUAUCCUGCACUGGACUGAUUUCUGUCAUUAAAUUGCUUAUCCUCAUAGAUAAGUUUAAUUUAAACUUAAUAGUUAGAUUUCUAGGAUGUCUUUUAACAAAGUUUUGUGCCAUGGAGGAUUAGCUGAAGCCCAUUAGAGAGAAGUGAGGAUUAGGUAGCUUUGAAGUGUGAUGGGCAGUAGAAACCUAGGAACCUCCUUGGCUUUGGAAAUUUUUCUUUCUAACAGUAGUUAACGUAAUGCUUGAACCUUUCUAGGGGGGAGAAGGGAAUUACUAUUCCAAUGUUGUUCCAACCAUGAGGAGCUUGGUGUAGCAGGAAGCGGUCACUUAGAAUUUGGACACUCUUGNNNNNNNNNNNNNNNNNNNNNNNNNGGCUAGGGAAAUCACUGCAACCAUAAGAUUAGGAAGGAUGUGUUAAAAUUAGUUAUUAAUAUAGGUUUACUAUUGCUGUUGGUUUUUGUCUCCAACCCCCCCCCCCACCCCCCCCCCCCCCCGCGGGUGUUUUUUAACCUUUUGUUUUGGACCAACUUAAUAGUAGUGUGUACUGGUAGCAGGGAUAGCUCCCUAUCUCCAGAAGGUAGUUUGACUCAAUAUCAUGCUGUCACUGGUGUACGAGUUAUAUUAAGCGUACAUAGAUCAUUUAGAGCAGCACUUAGUUCUAAAGAAUCAUUUGCUAUUUUAUGUUGGAAUUUGAACUUGAUUUUUUGUCAUAUUAUUUGUUUUUUGCAUAACUAUCAAAAACAUUUAUUGCCUUCAUUCUUCUUUUAAUGGCUUGGAAUCUACUCAAUAUUGGUUUAUAUGUUUGUCCUUAUUUUGUUUUGGCAGUCAUACCGUCGGUCCAAAGUUUAUUAGUGUUCAGAUAUUCACUUAAGUUUUCCUUUUUCUAGAGGUAAACCAAACAUUAGACGAAAAGGAAUUAUUUCGUAAUUAAGUUUAAAAGAUAUUAUUGUUUUGUGACAGUAUCAUUUUCUGCUUCGUUGUUUGUGCAUUGUUUGGCAAGUGCUAUGUCAGUAGUGGGAGAGAGUUGGUAACGCUGUUGUGUGUUAUUUUGGCUCUUUUAUCUGAUUCUAUCAGUAAGUAUAAUGGAAGUCUGGAAGCAAAAAUGGUAUUCUAUUAGCUUG
This 2984-nucleotide long non-coding RNA is filed under the name Nicotiana tabacum (common tobacco). Its description in RNAcentral is "long non-coding RNA (NTAB_LNC013849)". Lineage: Eukaryota; Viridiplantae; Streptophyta; Magnoliopsida; Solanales; Solanaceae. The record is from RNAcentral.